RNAcentral lists this ribosomal RNA (492 nucleotides) under uncultured bacterium. RNAcentral describes it as "partial 16S ribosomal RNA". It matches the Rfam family "Bacterial small subunit ribosomal RNA", at positions 29 to 507 of the family's 1533-position model. The record is from RNAcentral.
AGUGAACGCUGGCGGUAGGCCUAACACAUGCAAGUCGAACGGCAGCACAGUAAGAGCUUGCUCUUACGGGUGGCGAGUGGCGGACGGGUGAGGAAUACAUCGGAAUCUACUUUUUCGUGGGGGAUAACGUAGGGAAACUUACGCUAAUACCGCAUACGACCUACGGGUGACAGCAGGGGAUCUUCGGACCUUGCGCGAUUGAAUGAGCCGAUGUCGGAUUAGCUAGUUGGCGGGGUAAAGGCCCACCAAGGCGACGAUCCGUAGCUGGUCUGAGAGGAUGAUCAGCCACACUGGAACUGAGAAACGGUCCAGACUCCUACGGGGAGCAGCAGUGGGGAAUAUUGGACAAGGGGCGAAAGCCUGAUCCAGCCAUACCGCGUGGGUGAAGAAGGCCUUCGGGUUGGAAAGCCCUGUUGUUGGGAAAGAAAAGCAGCAGGUUAAUACCCCGCUGUUCUGACGGUACCCAAAGAAUAAGCACCGGCUAACUUCGUG